UUCACAAUGUUGCGAUGCCGAAUAUGCAUCAAGGCAUCUAUUUCACGAUUAAAUAGCUCAUCAUCUUCUAUUGUAUGAAUCUUCUUUACUGCAAAUAUCUCGCAUGUUGGUAACUGAGCUCUAUAUACUGACCCACUACUUCCAAUUCCAAUGCAGUGAGCGUCACUAAAAUUUUCUGUGGCGUCAACAAUUUGCCUGUACAUAUCUCCUCCGUGAAAGUUCCAGAUGGCGAACAGCUUUGUCUGUCGCAAUUCAUUUGCGCAUUCCACCUUGGAUUUCUUCCUUCUACAUUGCAAAGUUACUAGUGCCAUGAUAGAUAGAAAAGAUACAACAACAGGUAUUAUAGCUAGUAAAAUAGCUCUGGGCUUCUUUUUUCGUUCACCACUUUGAUUAAGGUCACAAGGAGGCAAACCUUUCACUACACCACACAAUUGCUUAUUCUGCAUGAACCAUUCGAUUGGAGCUUCUUCAAACAACCUACUCUGUGGCACUGACCCUUCCAAUUUGUUGAAUGACACAUCAAUGGAUAGGAGGCUGAACAUGUGCUGAAAUGAUGGUGGGAUGCUACCUUUCAAUCCAUUGUGUGAAAGAUUCAAAACUUC
RNAcentral lists this long non-coding RNA (602 nucleotides) under Hordeum vulgare. RNAcentral describes it as "long non-coding RNA (HVUL_LNC013982)". The record is from RNAcentral. Lineage: Eukaryota; Viridiplantae; Streptophyta; Magnoliopsida; Poales; Poaceae.